GCAGUAGCCGCGGUAAUACGAAAGGUCCAAGCGUUACUCGGAAUUACAGGGCGUAAAGCGCGCGGAGGCGGUUACUCAAGUCAGAGGUGAAAGCCCGGGGCUCAACCCCGGAACUGCCUUUGAAACUAGGUGACUAGAAUCUUGGAGAGGUCAGUGGAAUUCCGAGUGUAGAGGUGAAAUUCGUAGAUAUUCGGAAGAACACCAGUGGCGAAGGCGACUGACUGGACAAGUAUUGACGCUGAGGUGCGAAAGCGUGGGGAGCAAACAGGAUUAGAUACCCCGGUAGUCCCUGUCUCUUAUAC
This 302-nucleotide ribosomal RNA is filed under the name uncultured bacterium. RNAcentral describes it as "partial 16S ribosomal RNA". It matches the Rfam family "Bacterial small subunit ribosomal RNA", at positions 508 to 807 of the family's 1533-position model. The record is from RNAcentral.